CCUACGGGAGGCAGCAGUGAGGAAUAUUGGUCAAUGGGCGGGAGCCUGAACCAGCCAAGUCGCGUGAGGGAAGACGGUCCUAUGGAUUGUAAACCUCUUUAGGCGGGGAGCAAUGCCGGGCACGCGUGCCCGGAGGGAGAGUACCCGCAGAAUAAGCAUCGGCUAACUCCGUGCCAGCAGCCGCGGUAAUACGGAGGAUGCGAGCGUUAUCCGGAGUUAUUGGGUUUAAAGGGUGCGUAGGCGGAUUUUUAAGUCAGCGGUAAAAUGUCCGGGUUAAACCCGGGCCGGCCGUUGAAACUGGGGAUCUUGAGUGGGCGAGAAGUAUGCGGAAUGCGUGGUGUAGCGGUGAAAUGCAUAGAUAUCACGCAGAACUCCGAUUGCGAAGGCAGCAUACCGGCGCCCGACUGACGCUGAGGCACGAAAGCGUGGGGAUCGAACAGGAUUAGAUACCCCUGUAGUC
Molecule: ribosomal RNA, 460 nt
Filed under: uncultured bacterium
Lineage: Bacteria
Description: partial 16S ribosomal RNA
Rfam family: Bacterial small subunit ribosomal RNA
Source: RNAcentral